AAUAUCAAACCAGAUAUAUAUAGCAUAGCCAACUAACUGUUUCAUAUUUACAUGCAUUUAUGGACAAUAUUUCCGUUGUACAAAGGUUAAUAAAACAUCUGCUACAGGGUUGCAGAACAAUGCAUAAAAUGACACAUUCUUUAUAUCCUUUACACUAAUCUAUUUACAUAUGUACUAUUUACAUAUUAACAAUAUGUAAUGCAACUAAACUACAAUGCUGCAAUUAGUCUCCAAGUUUUGCAGGAUAUGACAAUAAUAUUAGCACUUGUAGAAAUCAUUUCUUCGCAUUAGCCCAACUCAAUUCUUGUCACAUAAUGUAGCCAGGGUGGGGAACUUGCAGCAAACAACAAAUAUAGAAUUUGGUAAAGUUGAGAAGAAAAGCGUCGUGUUAUGCAGUAAAAUUACCAUGUAAGUCAAAAUUUGCAAAAGGUAAGAAAUGAAAAUAAAAUGUCAAAAGCUAAUCAAAUAACUUACCGGUGAUGUGUGGCUUUGGCCGGUUAAGUAAAGAUUAGAAAAAUAGUGUGGAAGAUAAAAGAUUGAUCGCGUUUCAAGUAUUCGCCUUACAGCCUUAGUUUGGUCAGCAACAGCUUAAAAUAUUACAUCUUAAUAAGUCAUAUAUUUUCUUUGAUCAGUUAAAAAGUUGCAUGUUCUGGAGGAUACCUAAAAGAAAUCGAGAGCAGAGAUCUCUAAUAAAGAGGAUGCCCAUAUGAUAAUCUAGAUUAGUGUGUAGGAUCCAGUAAAAAUUACAAUAUCAGUUUAGCAUAGUUUCUUCCAAGUUAGAAAAGAAAGAAAAGAUGGGAGGGACUCUGGACAAGAAAUUUCUCAUCAAGCAACUUCAUAGAGGAUAGCGAACUGGAAGUAAAAUUUAUUAUUCUCUGAAAAUUGUUCAUUCAAUGAUUAUACAUCGGCAUAUUUUUAUCUAUAAUUAAUAUUCGCAGAAUCAGUACACUACUCAAUGAAUAAAUUGAUUAAUAAAGUUUUAAUAAUAAAAUAAUAAAAAAUAAUAGUAGUACAAUAUUCACUUUACUUAAAGUGUAAGAAAGUUACUUUACGAAAAGUUUAGUCAUUUACCGUUUAGUAUAAGUAUCGAUUCGUUUCAUGCAAAUGAUUAAGCAUUUGACAGUCUGGCCAUAAUAUCAUACCAAACUCUCCAAAGCUUGCACCUUAUUCUCUUCAAGUCAUAACAUCAUACCAAACUCUCUAAAGCUUGCACCUUAUUCUCUUCAAGUCAACUACUGUUAAACUCAAGAAAAAUUGACCUUAACAUAAUGUAAGUAAUUGAAGAUCCAAAGAAUACUAAAGACUAAAGUUUGGGGCAAGGGGCGAAAAGAAGACAUGGGAAAUAAUUUUUUUAAAAAAAGAGUGCUAACACCUAUUUGUUUUUUUUAUAACCAAGUAUAUGAUAAAAAAUAAAAUAUUUUUUUUGCAGUUAUAGCAAAAAUACUCUAUUAAAAAUGAGUAACUUCAUUAUAGUUUCUCCUAUACCCCAUUUUGAAAAAUGCAGAUAAAUUGAAGAUCUAGUCGAGAUAUUCAAGAUGAGUUUAUGGUAGCAUGAAUCAUCAAAUAAUGAAACUCCUAGGUUUUUAGUCAUUUGGUUCGUGGUCCUAUGAAUCCUUUUGAAAGAAAGUUAUAUGCACGGUUAAGCUGAAAAAGCUAUUCUCUAUCCUAGAUUAGGAUGUACAUAAUCAUGUCUCAGUCUAACUCGACGCUAAGCACAAUGUAUCAUAUUUUCAUGCAAGUUGUCUGCUCUGGCUAAUAAUAUGACAUAUACUGGUUCCAAAUGCACAUAUCAUCAAAAUACCUAACUUCUUGAUCUGUCAUCCACGAACUGCUGAUUCCUAACGGUUGCGCAGUCACUUUGAUGUUCUUGUCCACCUUUAAUAUAAGACAUAAUCGUAGAUUCUAACUUAAAGACCCUUCUUUGUCCUUGUACAGAUUUAACAUGAAAAAACUUUUAUUCAGCUAAAAAACUGCCAAACAGACUUAAAAACAUACAAGGAUAUUAUUGAUACGGCUAGAACUGUCAAAACAACUCUCACAUUAUCACUGAAAUUAAAUUUACAAACACAAAUCAAAAAGAGAAUUUUGAAACUCUAAUUCUCCCCUCUCCUCCAAGACAAUUACUUUCCUCGUAAAGGAGUAUGACAUACUUUAGUAAACAAGAAAUAAAUCAGCUUGGUGUGACCUUAUUUUCUCGAUUUUAGAAGAGUGCUCUAAACCAACAAGAUUGUUUAUCAAACCAAAUAGACAGAACUUCUAUGCAUGUAUUCAUCUAUUUUGGAAUAGGAUGAGUCUAUUUCAAAAUUUCACAAAGCCCUCAAUUCUUAAGUACCUCAUGCCUUUAUCUAUUGGUUCUAUAUGGUCUUUAAGACAAUGCUUUUAGAUUUUGGUGGGUUUACCUCACGCCUCAAUUCUUAACCACCUUGUGCCAAUUUUCAUUAAGCUAACAUGUUGCAACUUCUUAUAUGGGGGUAUUCUAUUUAUGGGCGUAGAAUAUACUAAUUGAUGCUGGAGUCGUAGGUUUGACUUACGGUGCAUUUCUAUCAAUGUUUCCAUCUUUAGAACAACUUUUGAAACUUCAACUUGUGGAGAAUUUAUGUUAUACUUCAGAUAGAGUUGUAUAAGCAAUCACCACAUCAGAAGAACCCUAAAAGUUUCUAGAUUCAGUUAGGUCUAAGUUAGCGUAGGGAGAGGCAGAUUUCCAAAGUAAUUCGGAACAGAUCGUGCAUCCUUUAGUACUGAUCCUUUAAAGUAGUAAUUUGGUGGAAACCAAAGAUCUUGAGAAUCUAAUAAAUAUACAGAAAGAAAUAUUGCAACAUAAGUAAGAAUCAUUCAAUACAUAUAACCGCACUUCUACAUUAUAAAAAUAAAUUCAAUUAAAUGACCAUCUUUCUCAAAAUAGAGUUAAAGAAAAACCCUGUUAGUCAUUUUCAGCCCUGAAUAUUUUUUUAAAGAUCGAGACUUAAAAAGAUACUAAACUCAAAUUUUAAUUUACCUGUUUAAUAUUGAUAAAUAUGGACAUACAAUAUGUAAAAUACAAACUGAAUUCCAUUGGCAUAUAUCACAUACAAAAUGACUUAGAUGAACAUACAAUUUACUGUAUAACUACAUAAUCAAACUUUGAACAGAAUAUAUUAGUACCUUCUAAUUGAUAGUGCAUCCCAUUACGAUUAAGAAUACCUGAAAGGAAUAACGAACAAAUCCUUUAUAUAAGCAAUAAAUAAAGCAAAAGAAAGAGAAAAGAACAGCAUGCGGACAGAACAAUAACACAAUCUGUUGAAUUUUUACAAAAAGGGCCUAAUUUGUUCUAAUGCACCACCAAAUUCAAGUGUCAGUACUUCCACAAAGUUUAGUACAAGAUGAAUAAAUUUAUGCACAAAGAAUAGAGAAACACAUAAAUUCCCCAAUAAGAAACAAAUUUUGAAAAAUAAGGGACCAUACGAUGAUAUCAAACAGCAAAAGAAGAAUUAUAUUCGACAUUCUGGAGACUUUUUUAGCUGAUGACAAAUUAAACAAAUUACAAACUUGAGAAGAAUUUGAAGGCCGAAGAAUACUGAAAAGGGUUAGGCAGAAUUUCAGCCAUGAAAUUGAAAAUCUAAGGAAAACUGGAAAAACAUUUGGGCAAAAAUUAAAAGAAAACAUACCCAAAUUAGAUAGACCCAAUUUUGCAAUGAUAAAGAGAAGUGAAAGGAUAGUAUAAACUAAUAAAGAUUGUCGACAUAAAAGAAAAGCGUAUUCUUGCACCUAUUUUUUUGGAAUGAGAUUGAAAGAUGAUUCUAGAGUGUGUUGAGUGUGUUGACAG
Molecule: long non-coding RNA, 3802 nt
Filed under: Nicotiana tabacum (common tobacco)
Lineage: Eukaryota; Viridiplantae; Streptophyta; Magnoliopsida; Solanales; Solanaceae
Description: long non-coding RNA (NTAB_LNC002617)
Source: RNAcentral